This 253-nucleotide ribosomal RNA is filed under the name uncultured bacterium. RNAcentral's name for it is "partial 16S ribosomal RNA". It matches the Rfam family "Bacterial small subunit ribosomal RNA", at positions 524 to 776 of the family's 1533-position model. The record is from RNAcentral.
UACGUAGGUGGCGAGCGUUGUCCGGAUUUACUGGGCGUAAAGAGCGCGCAGGCGGUCGAUUUAGUCGUGUGUGAAAGCCCCCGGCUCAACUGGGGAGGGUCACGCGAUACUGAUCGACUCGAAGGCAGGAGAGGGUAGUGGAAUUCCCGGUGUAGUGGUGAAAUGCGUAGAUAUCGGGAGGAACACCAGUGGCGAAGGCGACUACCUGGCCUGUUCUUGACGCUGAGGCGCGAAAGCCAGGGGAGCAAACGGG